This 585-nucleotide ribosomal RNA is filed under the name Entamoeba sp. Its description in RNAcentral is "bacterial SSU rRNA". It matches the Rfam family "Eukaryotic small subunit ribosomal RNA", at positions 547 to 1106 of the family's 1831-position model. The record is from RNAcentral. Lineage: Eukaryota; Evosea; Mastigamoebida; Endamoebidae.
AUUGGAGGGCAAGUCUGGUGCCAGCAGCCGCGGUAAUUCCAGCUCCAAUAGUGUAUAUUAAAGUUGCUGUGAUUAAAACGCUCGUAGUUGAAUUAAAAUGUGGUUUUAUACAUUUUGAAGACUUUAUGUAAGUAAAGUUUCUAGAAAUGUUAAAUUAAAAUCAAAGAAGGAAACAAUUCAAGUAAUUGAGUUGUUAUUACUUUGAAUAAAAUAAGGUGUUUAAAGCAAAACAUUAUGUUAAUGAAUAUUCAAGCAUGGGACAAUGCUGAGGGGAUGUCAAUAAGACAUUUCGAGAGAAGGAUUAAAAGGAACAAUUGGGGUGAUUCAGAAAAUAACGGGAGAGGUGAAAAUCCAUGAUCGCUAUAAGAUGCACGAGAGCGAAAGCAUUUCACUCAACUGUGUCCAUUAAUCAAGAACGAAAGUUAGGGGAUCGAAGACGAUCAGAUACCGUCGUAGUCCUAACUAUAAACGAUGUCAACCAAGGAUUGGAUGAAAUUCAGAUGUACAAAGAUAGAGAAGCAUUGUUUCUAGAUCUGAGUAUAUCAAUAUUACCUUGUUCAGAACUUAAAGAGAAAUCUUGAGUUU